Molecule: long non-coding RNA, 5118 nt
Organism: Cavia porcellus (domestic guinea pig)
Lineage: Eukaryota; Metazoa; Chordata; Mammalia; Rodentia; Caviidae
Exons: 2
Source: RefSeq, a predicted model, not a curated record
CCUGCAGCCGUAUGGCACAGGGCGGCCUCAACACAUCUCUGUGAGACAAAUGACGCGUCUUGUGCCCCAUACACUAUUGGCCCUGACCCAUUGGAAUGCACAGUUCUGUGUCCACUGCUCUGGAACACAUGCCGGUUCUCAUUAUGUAAUCAAGGUUUGACCUCCAAAUCAAUUUGAUCCUCUUGCCUGAGCCUCCUGAGUGCUGGGAUUUACAGGUAUACACUACCCAGCUACCCUCAGUGGUCUUUUUUUUUAUCUUUUAUUUUUAGAUAUUCAAACUUGCAAUCUUCCUGUCUCAGCCUCCCUCAGUACUAGUUGUUGUUGUUGUUUGGUGCUGGGGAUUGAACUUGGGACCCUGUGGAGACGAGGCAAGCACUCUACCACAGAGCUGCAUGUUCAGCCCAGUACUAGACUUACAGACAGGCAUUGCCACACCCAGCUCUGAGACUUCAGAAUGUUCAGCAUAGUCAAAUUCUUUCUUUUUUUAAUUUUCAUUUUUAUCAGUCCACAUCUGCAGCAAUACUGAUUACAUUCACCACAAGGAGUUGGUAUCUCUAUAUAAUGCAUCUGAAAUUCUUUUUACUUCCCCUCUAGCACAAAUUCGUUAAUCCAGAUGCCAUCUGUGUGAGAAUCUUCCGGGAAGAAUCUAAACUCAGUUGGGCAAGGUGGUACACACUUGUGAGCCUAGCAUUUUGGGAGUUUGAGGCACAAGAACCACAAGUUUGAGUGUACUCUGGGCAGUUUAGCAUUUUAGCAUGACCUGGUCUCAAAAGAAAGAAAUAGGGGGCCAUGGAUUUAGCUCAGUGGCACAGCGCCCACCUGGCAAGCAUGAGGUCCUGAGUUUGAUUAUCAGUACCAAAAAGAAAAAAGAAAAAGGAAGGAAAGAAAGAAAGAAAGGGAGAUAGAAAAGAGAAAAAAGGAAUCUGAGCCCAUGAGUAUUAUAAUGCCCGCCUAUAGUUCCCACACUUGGUUUGGGGGGAGGAGUGUUUUUAUGUUUUGUGUGCGCCAAGAACUGAACUCAGUGGCCUUACACUUGCCAGGCAGGCCCUGUGCCACUGAGCUGUGUCCCCUGCCCUAUGCUUGGGAGGCUGAGGCAGGAGGAUUGUUGAGAGCUCAAGGCUAGCUUGGGCCACACAGGGAGACCCUUUUUCAAAAAGCCAAAAAAGGAAAAGAAAAUAAGGGAGCAAAGUGAGGCCCUGUGAGUACAGCGUGGACAAGGGUGUGGAAAGGUCACUCUGUAGCCUCCCACCCCUCUGCCUCUGGUAGGGACCCCUCACCCGUUCCGUUUGACCCACUUCACCAAGGAGGCUGGCUUGGCACCUUGAGAGCAGAGAGAGGGUCUAUCGUUGUCCCAGUGAACUUGCUCAAGGAUCACUGGGUGAUGGAAGACAUGCCAGCGAGGCCUAGGGGACUCAGGAGGAUAGACAGGUGGUAGGUCUGGGCUCUGGGUGGACAGAUGACCAGGGGACACCCGGGUGGGGCACAGCACCUGGCUGAGAGCCCCAGGCCACCAGCCAGCUCAGUGGUUUCUGGUAGAAGGAGUGGACUGCUGCCUGCACCUGGCUUCCACCGGCCCUGGCCUCCCAGGGCAUCCCAGUGACCCAUCUCCCACCCUUCGAUGCACCUCCUCAGCCCUCUCUCCCGGCUGGGCUCUUCCCACAGUGUGUGGCCAGGACUCAUUUGCAUAGGACCCCAGGUGAUUCUCGCCACAGACCAGCUUCCCAGAACUGCAGAGCUACCCAGGAUCCAGCAGGGCUUGUUGGUCUGCAGGGGUCAGAAGAGAUGACUGACAACUGCUGGAAACUAACUACCCUCAUCCCCCUCCCUCACUGGAAAUCUGAACCAAAGAUGGGAUGCUUCUCAGGCGUUGGGGUGGGAAGACCCUCCUUGGGUCACCCAGAGUCACCUCCAUCAGCCCGCCCCCAGCCUCCAAGGGUCCUGGCACUCCUACCAAGCCAGUCCCCAGAGGGCAGCAGGAAUCUGAGGAGCCAGUGGGUGAGUGGGUGGGUAGAGUGUUUUCUUUCCCCUCCCCUUCUCGGCAGAUUUCUGGGAAAUGCCAGAGGCCGGCUAGGCCUGGAAUGUCAGGCUUGAAAGGACUCUUCCACUACCGCCUGCCUCAAACCUUUUCAUUAGCUCUGCGGCCCCUCCCGGCUAGAACAAAGGCCCACAAACUGGAAUGCCGCUUCCCGGCCACAGGCCAUUGUCCGUGCCUCCUCCUUGGCCCACCCCUCGGGUUUUCUCUGAGGCAGGAAAGAGAGCCAGAGAGGAGGGCUGCCCUCAGUCCUGGUGACCCCGAGGAGCGGCAGAUUCCCUUGCACAGCUGGAGCACAGUGACCUGUGGCAGGCCACCUCCUGCACAUUAGAAAGCCCAGGGUAACCUGGAAGACAAGGAAGCCUUGGACUUAACCUCUAGCAGUACUGUGGUCAGAGGCCGGUCUUCGCAUCCUCUGGCUGCAGAGCUGGUGACAGUGGCCAUCUCAGUACUCCCCAAGGGCCAGCUGCAGGAAACGUGCCCAGUGCCCACUGAGCUGUGCCAUUCCUCUGGUGCCAGGGCUCCUUCCCCUCUGUGAGGUUUGGGGAAGAGCUCAGUGUCGGUCACGUGAGUGGAGGCUAAACCACUCUGUACUUCCCCUCUGUCGUGAAUGAUUAUCUUUAUGACCAAGCACCUUUGCCUGGAAAUGGGAUUCUGACUUCAUAGAAGUUCUGCAAAGGGAGAGAUUAGGAAAAGGCCCGAGCCUCCCAAAUCCGCUGGAUGGGAAAGUGGGGUAGAACAGAAGACCCCAACCCGGAAACCCACUCUCCCAUGAAGCCACUGGCCAAUAAGGGGAGAAAGAAGCAGCCGGCCUUUAGCUCUGGCCUGGGUCUGGCGUCUCUCUGCUCCGGUCCCUGCCUGGAAGUGGGUUCCUGGAAAUGUGCCCUGAAUUGGCCUGAGUGUCUCCUCCCACUUUUCCAGCAUGUUUGUCUUUAGAUUAGCAGGCCAAUAACUCCAGCAAACCAGUGGUGGCUUCCCAGAACCCACACCCUCCAGCCCAUCUGUGCAGCUGCUCCCCAGCCCUGCAGGGAGAAGCCAGAGGCUACUCCAGGAGAAAGCAGUGAUAUCAAAAAUUGAUGGGAACCGGGCGUGGUGGCACACGCCUGUAAUUCCAGCACUUGGAAGGCUGAGGCAGGAGGGUUACUGAGGGCUCAAGGCCAGCCUGGGCUCGCUCCAUAGCGAGUUGAAGCCCAUCCUGAACUACAUAGUGAGACUCUGUCUCAAAAAAAAAAAAUAUAUAUAUAUAUAUGGAAAACAUAAGCCUACAGCACACCUUAAAGACUCACGAAGCUCUUUCUAUAUCCCAGGCUCUAGGACUACAAAGAAAAUAAAUCUGUACUGUGGAGUUUGAGGCAGGAUCCCAGCUUGAGGCCAGCCCAGGCAACUUAGUGAAGCCCUGUAUAAAAUUUAAAAAAUAAAAAUGAAACCAGGUACCAUGGUACAUGCCUGUAAUCCCAGCUACUGGAGAGGCUGAGGCAGGAUGAUCUAAAGUUCAAGGCCAGCCUGGAGAAUUUUGGAAGAUUCUAUCUCAAAAUAAGAUAAAAAGGGUUUCAGAUGUAGCUCAGUACUCCCUGGGUUCAAUCCCCAAUGCCAUAAAUUAAAUACAUAGGGCUGGGGCGGCCUUGAUGACAGGGCAAUUGCCUAGUGCAUGGGGAGCCCUGAGCAACACAGAAAGCGGGCUGGGCAGGGCAGGGCAGGGCAGGGCAGGGCAGCGGUAUUUUGGUUAGCGUUUUAGUGUGGAAAGAGCAACUCAAGGAGUCUCCAGUAAGUGUCCAACAAAUCUGAGAGGAAAACUGCAGGCCUGGACGGUGGGGUACCACCUGUGUCCUGCACAUCUGGAAGUCCAGCUUCUUCCGGAGGGAGAUGUCCCCCCACUGUGAAGCUGACAGUCACCAGAGCCAGAGCCAGGCGCCAGCUCUCCUGAGCGCUUGGGCUUCCUCUCAAAGGCAAGGGAACCCCGGGAGAAAUUAGGAAACCAAAGAAAAACUUGGUGACAGAUUCAAAUGUUUGAAGACCAUCUGUAUCUGGAGUGUCUCUUGUAAGGCAGGGCUCCUCCAAACACAGCAGGAUAUACCCCCCACCCCAGGCCCCACCUGGUGUCCCUCUCUUCUACCCUCCUCAGACUCCUCAGUGUUUUCUAGACACAGCAAGAGCUGAGGCUGGGCAUGUAGUUCAGGAACAGAGCUCUCGUGCUCAGGAUGCUUGAGGCCCUCAGCGUCGUUAUUUAAGGAAUUAAUUUAUGUUUGUGUGUGUAUGUGACAGGGUCUUGCUACAUAAGCCAGGCUGGCCUUGAACUUGCUAUGUAGCUCAAACUGGCCUCAAACUCAGAAUCUUCCUGCCUCAGCCUCCCAAGUGCUAGGAUUACAGCAUUCUUCUCUUCAAAUCCCCACUAUUGAUGGGCAUGGUGAUGUAUGCCUGUAAUCCCAGUGCUCUUGAAGGCUGAAGCAAGAAGAUCCCUGCAAAUUCAAGGCCAGCCUGAACUGUAUAGCAAAAUCCUGUCUCAACAAAACAAAACAAAUCCCUAUACCCUCUUAGCCCCACCCUGAACUGCUUGUGCCCACCCCCCACCCCCACCCCUGCAGAACACAGCCCCCACGGGCCCUAUGCUGCUUUUGUAGCUUUCAGUUUACCUGUGUCAAAGGAAUGCAUCUGUCCCACCACAUUUGGAUUCCUUGGGUUCCAGGUCUACUGCCCCCCAGCCCCUGCCCCGGCCUCCAGGGUCAUAAUCACAAUCUCUGCCUCAUCAAGGCAUUUGGUGCUCAAUGAGCGCUCAGUGAGUGCAUGUGGAAUGGAUGAAUGAGCUUGACUUGUAUCAGAGCAGUAUAAUUUACAAAGCACUUUCCCAUCCAUUAACUCAGGGCUAUUCCCCAGAGUCCUCUCUGUCCUCUGCAGGACUCAGCAUGGGAGCCCAGGGGCACAGCAGCCCAGUAACACUCGGACUCUGAUGGGAGACAGGCAGACUCCACCCCAGAGCCAGCAAGCGCCUUGAGGACAACCAGAUCUGAAUUGCUUGUGCUCUCCCCAUGCAGGCUCUGCGGAGCCGGAUUUGUGAAAUGUGCUGAAUAGAUCCAUUUUCCUUCUGCAGA